Molecule: long non-coding RNA, 458 nt
Organism: Apis florea (little honeybee)
Lineage: Eukaryota; Metazoa; Arthropoda; Insecta; Hymenoptera; Apidae
Source: RefSeq, a predicted model, not a curated record
AUUUACCUGCAAAUAGAUUAGAUAGAUAAUCGACAAUUAUCUUGAUCGAUCAUUGGAAAACGUGUAUCAUUUAUGAAACUAGUUCAAGAUAGUGGAAAUGCCGACGAGAACGUCGAAUGUUUGACGACGAACAUUGUCGACCGAUCGGCAAACAAACCUUAAUGUUUGCACGAAUUCGCGCAGCUAGGUAAUCAGUCUCGGCGAAUGUCACGAUUGAAGUAUCAGAGCCACUGUGUCAAACACGAGUUUAUUCUGUACUGUCAGCUGUCAGAACGAUGGAUGCACGGGAUGAAAAUGGAUGUCCGAAAAACUUACCGACAAAUAGCCCCAUCCUGUCACUACUGCAUUUUUUCCAAUCUCUAUCGAGGUCGUAGAGUCAGCCAGCGUGAUCGGUUUCGUAGUCGGGCUUAUUUUCAGGGGGGUCGACAGCUGCGAGAAAAUAUUUGUGAGAAAAUAAU